RNAcentral lists this ribosomal RNA (333 nucleotides) under Triticum aestivum (bread wheat). RNAcentral's name for it is "partial small subunit ribosomal RNA". The record is from RNAcentral. Lineage: Eukaryota; Viridiplantae; Streptophyta; Magnoliopsida; Poales; Poaceae.
AUGGAGUUCCAGUUUCUGGUGCCUCCGCCACAGGAGUACGGGUUCGAGGCCGGUAUGGAUAUGCAGCAGAUGGUGAUGGCGGCGCUGCCUCCGUCUCAGGUGGUGGCCGCCGUGGUGGAUAUGCAGGAGAUGCCUCCGCCGCCGGGGUUGGCCGCCGGGAUGGAUAUGGAGCAGAUGCAGAUGACGAUGCCUAAGCCGCCGGGGUUCGACGCAGGGCUAGACAUGGAGAUAGACCAAUGGCUUAAUGUGAUGCUGCCGCCUCCGGAGAUCCCCGCCGGGAUGGAGACGGUGCAGCAGGGGCUCCAUCAACCGAACGCCGGCUUCCCGUACUGA